RNAcentral lists this small RNA (22 nucleotides) under Karenia brevis. RNAcentral's name for it is "trans-spliced leader sequence SL". Lineage: Eukaryota; Dinophyceae; Gymnodiniales; Kareniaceae. The record is from RNAcentral.
ACCGUAACCAUUUUGGCUCAAG